AUAAAUGACCAAAUCACAUUGAAAGCACCCAGUCUUGUCAGAUCUCUGAAGAUAAGCAGCGAUGAGAAUGGUGACUGCUUAGAUGGGAGACUGCCAGGGAAACACCAGGUGGUGUAGG
This 118-nucleotide ribosomal RNA is filed under the name Petromyzon marinus (sea lamprey). The record is from RNAcentral. Lineage: Eukaryota; Metazoa; Chordata; Hyperoartia; Petromyzontiformes; Petromyzontidae.